Molecule: ribosomal RNA, 603 nt
Filed under: Triticum aestivum (bread wheat)
Lineage: Eukaryota; Viridiplantae; Streptophyta; Magnoliopsida; Poales; Poaceae
Description: partial small subunit ribosomal RNA
Source: RNAcentral
AUGCGGCUGAUGGGGAAGAAGCUCUGCUUGGGGAGGCUCUGGCAGUGGCUUGAUCGGCUGCCUCUGCUAGUCUCCAGCGCCCCCACUGUUACCAAUGUUAGAUCUUCCACUUCGUUAUCAGCUGCCCUCUGUUGGUCCCUGUCUCCGUUCCGCGUCACCCCCGUUCCUUGCUUAGUGUUGCUGCACCUCUGUAUGCUGUGUUUGUGUCUUCAGAAUUCAGAUACUGGUGUCUGUUCACUACUGUUUGCAAUGCCGGCUAUCCCUUGGGCUGUUUGUUUGCCAUUCGCGCAGACUGUUGUCCAACUGCUUUGCAACGCCCCCACCGCGAUGAUCCCUGCAAUGUAUAUACAACUUAUUAAUUGGAACGUCAGAGGGUUAAACAACCUGGCUAGAAGGAGAGCGAUUCAAAAAUUUAUUGCUGACCACAACUGCAACUUGGUCUGCCUCCAGGAGACUAAGUUGGCUGACCUCUCCCCUGCUCUGGUCACUGAGAUCCCUGGCAGCAAGUUCUCUGCCAAUGUCAUUUUCAAACCGGUAUUGGCAUCCGAGGGGGCAUCUUGGUGGCAUGCCCUGAUGAUUUUGCUAUUGUUCAGGACCACUUGA